AAUUUACAAUGAAGAAAAGUCAGUCACGCACAACCAAGCACGGGCUCAUUUACUGAACAAAUGGAAUCUGAUCUCCAACUAUCGGCAAUAUCACAAGGUGCUCCACAAGUCCAAAACCCAGCGAGUUUAGUAAAAAGACUACAGUGGGAGUACAAUGAUAACACAGCAACACCACUAGAGAGAGCUUAUUAUCUAGUGUAAUAGCCAUCAUCAUCGAAGCUCCUGCUCCUUACUGGGCUUCUGCUCCUAGAGCCAUAAGGAGAUCUUGAGUAAGACCUCUCUCUGUACCAGAGAGCAUACGCGGACAUAUCAGUACAGUACAGGUUAUAUAUUUGUCCAACUACCGUCAAAAGGAAAACCAUAUUGCUAAGCUAGGAAUUAGGGGUGUACAAAGGAAACCGACAAACCGCACCAACCCGAUAAUCCGAGUCAAACCGAGAAGAAAUACAUUGUAAAGAUCAAAGAGAAGUCGACGAUAAUUAUGAAAUGUGCGUAAUUCGCAUUAUCAAAGGUCUUGAAAAAUAUUUAAUUCUCCAAUUUUAACAUGCCUAAAUAAGAAUAAUAUACAAACUGUAAAACAUAUUUAAUAAUAUAAUUUUCUAUAUAGUAUAUGAACGAAAAUUUCCCUUUUAAAAUUAAGCAAAAUUGUUCCACUUUUUCACGCAAAAAUAAAAUUUAAAUAAAAAUAUCCCUUUCUAAAGUCCGAAAAAAUCCAACAUACAUUCAAACUUUUUAGAUGAAACCAUAAGUACGCUAAAUUUCAUAAUAUACUAAAAUUCCAAAAUAAUAUAUCAGAGAUAUAUAUGUAGGAGCUCCAUAUCACAUGCUGUAUCUUUUUCGUUUCAGUUAAAGGCAUUUUUAUCCAAAUUUUUUCUCAACAAAUAAUAGCUAUUAUUCAAUCACUUCACAAACAUUAACUAUUUUUCAAUCAAAUGACCGAAUCAACGUAUGAAGUGCAAAAUAUUAACAUCCUCCCCAGUAAUUACGUCAAUACUGGCCAUAGCUACAAUAAUGAAUAGCUCACGAUUUUAGAGAUCUUCAACAAACAGGUCAAUAUACGAGCACGAAAUUUACAAUGAAGAAAAGUCAGUCACGCACAACCAAGCACGGGCUCAUUUACUGAACAAAUGGAAUCUGAUCUCCAACUAUCGGCAAUAUCACAAGGUGCUCCACAAGUCCAAAACCCAGCGAGUUUAGUAAAAAGACUACAGUGGCAAUACAAUGAUAACACAGCAACACCACUACAGAGAGCUUAUUAUCUAGUGUAAUAGCCAUCAUCAUCGAAGCUCCUGCUCCUUACUGGG
Molecule: long non-coding RNA, 1304 nt
Filed under: Nicotiana benthamiana
Lineage: Eukaryota; Viridiplantae; Streptophyta; Magnoliopsida; Solanales; Solanaceae
Description: long non-coding RNA (NBEN_LNC034196)
Source: RNAcentral